UACAGAGGGUGCGAGCGUUGUUCGGAAUUAUUGGGCGUAAAGGGCGCGUAGGCGGUGCCACAAGUCACCUGUGAAAUCCCCGGGCUUAACUCGGGGCCUGCAGGCGAAACUGUGGUGCUAGAGUAUGUAAGAGGGUCGCGGAAUUCCCGGUGUAGAGGUGAAAUUCGUAGAUAUCGGGAGGAACACCGGUGGCGAAGGCGGCGACCUGGGACAAUACUGACGCUGAGGUGCGAAAGCGUGGGGAGCAAACAGG
Molecule: ribosomal RNA, 253 nt
Filed under: uncultured prokaryote
Description: partial 16S ribosomal RNA
Rfam family: Bacterial small subunit ribosomal RNA
Source: RNAcentral